Molecule: non-coding RNA, 116 nt
Filed under: Erwinia mallotivora
Lineage: Bacteria; Pseudomonadati; Pseudomonadota; Gammaproteobacteria; Enterobacterales; Erwiniaceae
Source: RNAcentral
AGUUUGCUGCGUAGGGUACAGAGGUAAGAUGUUCUAUCUUUCAAACCUUUUACUUCACGUAAUCGGAUUUGGCUUAAUAUUAGCCGCCCCAGUUGUUACAACUGGGGCGUUUUUUA